RNAcentral lists this ribosomal RNA (301 nucleotides) under uncultured bacterium. RNAcentral's name for it is "partial 16S ribosomal RNA". It matches the Rfam family "Bacterial small subunit ribosomal RNA", at positions 509 to 807 of the family's 1533-position model. The record is from RNAcentral.
CAGCCGCCGCGGGAAUACAGAGGGUGCGAGCGUUAAUCGGAUUUACUGGGCGUAAAGCGUGCGUAGGCGGCUUCUUAAGUCGGAUGUGAAAUCCCUGAGCUUAACUUAGGAAUUGCAUUCGAUACUGGGAAGCUAGAGUAUGGGAGAGGAUGGUAGAAUUCCAGGUGUAGCGGUGAAAUGCGUAGAGAUCUGGAGGAAUACCGAUGGCGAAGGCAGCCAUCUGGCCUAACACUGACGCUGAGGUACGAAAGCAUGGGGAGCAAACAGGAUUAGAUACCCCCGUAGUCCCUGUCUCUUAUAC